Molecule: ribosomal RNA, 253 nt
Filed under: uncultured bacterium
Lineage: Bacteria
Description: partial 16S ribosomal RNA
Rfam family: Bacterial small subunit ribosomal RNA
Source: RNAcentral
UACAGAGGUCCCAAGCGUUGUUCGGAUUCACUGGGCGUAAAGGGUGCGCAGGCGGCCGUGUGUGUGAGGCGUGAAAGCCCGGGGCUCAACCCCGGAAUUGCACCUCAAACUACAUGGCUAGAGCAUUGGAGAGGGUAGCGGAAUUCACGGUGUAGCAGUGAAAUGCGUAGAUAUCGUGAGGAACACCAGAGGCGAGGGCGGCUACCUGGACAAUUGCUGACGCUCAGGCACGAAAGCGUGGGGAGCAAAAGGG